Planococcus citri (citrus mealybug) is the source of this 1487-nucleotide long non-coding RNA. RefSeq lists it as uncharacterized. The record is from RefSeq and is a predicted model, not a curated record. The transcript has 2 exons. NCBI's taxonomy places the organism in Eukaryota, Metazoa, Arthropoda, Insecta, Hemiptera, Pseudococcidae.
UAGUGGCCCGUGUGGACAAUGCUGCAAGUGUGAAGAAGAGUAUGUAUGUAGAACAGUCAGGGUUGUCAUUUUACUUGUAGAAAUUGUAGUAUUAUAUGCAUUUAUUCUACAUCUACAUCCACAAGUAGAUGUAGAAGUGUAGGACUCAGAAAGUAGAAGUAGAGUAGCAUUGCAUUGCAACUUUGAAAUUGAAUAUUCAAAAAUUAUAAAAUGAAUGCAAAAGGGCGAUAAACUAAGAUACAACACUUCUAUACACAAUAUUUUUUGUUUUAAAGUUUACACAUUCAGAGGAUAACUGUACUUUAAAAUUAUUUUCAUUUUUUACUCUGGAGAAGGCAGUAUAUAAUUGUCCAUGUGCGAAAACUUCAUGAGUCAAGUUCACUCCAACAAAUUCAAAUGUUUGACCUUGACUUUUAUUUAUGGUCAUAGCAAAAGCAGGAAUUACUGGAAAUUGAGUUCUUUUUAAUUGAAAUGGUAAGGUAGAAUCACUUGGUAAUAAAUCAAUUUGUGGUAUAUUGACUAUUUUAUCUGCAUGUAUACCAGUCAAAAUUUCACAUUGAAUGAAAUGAUUAAAUAAUUUUACUAUUAAUAAUCUUGUUCCAUUGCACAAACCUUCUCGGACAUUUAAGUUUCGUAAUAACAUAACUACACAUCCAACUUUUAGGCGUAACUCAUGAGGAGGCAUUCCAGAAGGUGUUUGGGUAUAUAAAAAAUCUAAAGGGUACCGUUCAAUUUCUAAGGGAUCAUCACUUUGAACUUUAUCAGAACUAUAAUAAAUUGUUUCUUCUCCAUUUAUCAAUCGUAAAAUUUCAUUAUUCACUGUUAAUGCAGUGGAAUUGAGUGCACAAAGAAUUGUUUUUGAUUUGACUACAUUUUUGCUGAAAUCGCUACCAUAGAUAUCUGCAAUAAGAUUCUUUGAAAUGUAUUUUUGUGGUAUUUCAAUUUUAUCGUCACUAUCAUUCAUACUUCCAUUUCCUAUUGAUAACAACCAAGCAUUAAAAAUAUUAUUAGUGCACCUUAUAUUUUCAGUCAAUGAAAAAAAUUUAAAAUGACGCCAUAAAGAACUAUAUAUUAAGCAGUGUUCAAGUAUAACAGUAGCAUUUGCUCUAGGAACCACAGCUUCUUUGGAACCAGCUUUUAUAAAUGAAAUUGAAUCAUCUAAAAUUGGCACAGGCAAUUUGAAACCACUAUGAGCAGUGCGACCAUUUUCUAAUAGAAGUGCAGCUAUACCAGUGGUUGCAAAUGAGAAAACAAUUGCAUGCUUACUUUGCACAUAUUGCACAAUUGUAUUAUAUAAAUAGGUCUUUCCACACCCUCCAGGUCCAUCAACAAAAAAACAUCUCUGCAAACUAUUUUUAUUUUCAAAUGCAUUUUUUAUUUCAUUAAAUAUUAUCAAUUGUUUCUCAUUUAGUGAAUCUAUGCGUAAUUGUAAUACUUGCUCAUCAAUUAUCGGAAUAUAAUCAUUGACAUCUUCUUGUUCAGCUAAA